CUCAUACUCCCUCCAUCCGGAAUUAGUUGUCGCUCGAACGGAUGUAUCUACCAGUGGUAGAUACAUCCGUUUGAGCGACAACUAAUUCUGGAUGGAGGAAGUACUUA
Triticum urartu is the source of this 107-nucleotide non-coding RNA. Lineage: Eukaryota; Viridiplantae; Streptophyta; Magnoliopsida; Poales; Poaceae. The record is from Rfam.